Molecule: ribosomal RNA, 490 nt
Filed under: uncultured bacterium
Lineage: Bacteria
Description: partial 16S ribosomal RNA
Rfam family: Bacterial small subunit ribosomal RNA
Source: RNAcentral
GAUGAACGCUAGCUACAGGCUUAACACAUGCAAGUCGAGGGGCAGCAUGGUCUUAGCUUGCUAAGGCCGAUAGCGACCGGCGCACGGGUGAGUAACACGUAUCCAACCUGCCGUCUACUCUUGGACAGCCUUCUGAAAGGAAGAUUAAUACAAGAUGGCAUCAUGAGUCCGCAUGUUCACAUGAUUAAAGGUAUUCCGGUAGACGAUGGGGAUGCGUUCCAUUAGAUAGUAGGCGGGGUAACGGCCCACCUAGUCUUCGAUGGAUAGGGGUUCUGAGAGGAAGGUCCCCCACAUUGGAACUGAGACACGGUCCAAACUCCUACGGGAGGCAGCAGUGAGGAAUAUUGGUCAAUGGGCGAGAGCCUGAACCAGCCAAGUAGCGUGAAGGAGGACUGCCCUAUGGGUUGUAAACUUCUUUUAUAAAGGAAUAAAGUCGGGUAUGGAUACCCGUUUGCAUGUACUUUAUGAAUAAGGAUCGGCUAACUCCGUG